Molecule: microRNA precursor, 95 nt
Organism: Mustela putorius furo (domestic ferret)
Lineage: Eukaryota; Metazoa; Chordata; Mammalia; Carnivora; Mustelidae
Source: Ensembl
CACUGCUUCCCGAGGCCACAUGCUUCUUUAUAUCCCCAUAUGGAUUACGUUGCUAUGGAAUGUAAGGAAGUGUGUGGUUUCGCGAGUGCCUCUUC